Molecule: ribosomal RNA, 458 nt
Filed under: uncultured Desulfovibrio sp.
Lineage: Bacteria; Pseudomonadati; Thermodesulfobacteriota; Desulfovibrionia; Desulfovibrionales; Desulfovibrionaceae
Description: bacterial SSU rRNA
Rfam family: Bacterial small subunit ribosomal RNA
Source: RNAcentral
ACAAGCGGUGGAGUAUGUGGUUUAAUUCGAUGCAACGCGAAGAACCUUACCUAGGUUUGACAUCCGGAAGACCUUCCCGAAAAGGAAGGGUGCCCUUCGGGGAAUUCCGAGACAGGUGCUGCAUGGCUGUCGUCAGCUCGUGCCGUGAGGUGUUGGGUAAGUCCCGCAACGAGCGCAACCCUAUUGCCAGUUGCUACCAGGUAAUGCUGGGCACUCUGGUGAGACUGCCCCGGUUAACGGGGAGGAAGGUGGGGACGACGUCAAGUCAUCAUGGCCCUUACGCCUAGGGCUACACACGUACUACAAUGGCGCAUACAAAGGGCAGCGAUACCGCGAGGUGGAGCCAAUCCCAAAAAGUGCGUCCCAGUCCGGAUUGCAGUCUGCAACUCGACUGCAUGAAGUUGGAAUCGCUAGUAAUUCGAGAUCAGCAUGCUCGGGUGAAUGCGUUCCCGGGCCUU